AUGGGUGCUCUCUGCGAUUACUGUGGGGAGCAUAGGUCCAUGGUUUACUGCCGAUCCGAUGCAGCUUCUUUGUGCUUGUCAUGCGAUCGCAAUGUGCAUUCAGCUAAUGCUCUUUCUCGGCGCCAUACAAGAACUCUUCUAUGUGAUCGGUGUGCUUCACAGCCUGCUAUGGUCCGCUGCCUAGAAGAGAACACCUCACUUUGCCAAAAUUGUGACUGGAAUGGGCAUAGUGCUGGAUCCUCUGCUGCUGGACACAAAAGACAGAAUAUAAACUGCUAUUCAGGGUGCCCAUCAUCUGCAGAGCUUUCAAGAAUGUGGUCAUUCAUUUUGGAUAUUCCUAAUGUGGCUCCUGAGCUGAAUUGUGAGCAAGUAAUAAGCAUGAUGAGCAUCAGUGACAGUGCUGUCAGUAAUGGAGACAACGCGCAAGGGGACAACAGUUUGGUAGAUAUGGCUUGCGCAACACUUGAUGAAGAAGACAAACAAAAGUCUGUGAUAGGAUCAUCUUCUGAAGCUGCUCUGAACCUUCUUCCACCUGCUAAUAAUCAGACAGCUGUAUCUGUGGAUUCGACGACAGCUAAGUAUACGCCAGACAAACAUAUGUUCAGCAAGGACAGCAUAUAUGAAGAUUUCUCUAUGGAUGAUAUUGAUCUGAGUUACGAAAAUUAUGAAGAACUAUUUGGUAACUCUCAUAUUCAGACUGAGGAACUCUUUGAUGAUGCUGGCAUUGACAGUUACUUUGAACCUAAAGAAGCGACUGCUGUGAAUUCUGAUGAGCAGCCCAAGCCAAAGCAGCCGGCUGCUAGCAAUGCGUUAUCUGCUGACUCUGGGAUGUCAAAUCCAGCAGUAAAAGAAGAUGAUUCCAGUCUUUGUAUUCCUGUGAGGCAAGCUAUUUCCUAUUCUGGCUUUACUGGUGAGAGCAUUCCUGAAGAAUACCAAGACUGUGGUGUAUCACCAAUGCUCCUUAUGGGCGAGCCUCCUUGGCUUCCUCCUGGCCCUGAUGGGUCAUUUGCUGGAAUUAGAGACAGUGCUAUCACACGGUACAAGGAGAAGAAGAAAAGAAGAAAGUUUGACCACAAGAUCAGGUAUGAAUCUCGCAAGGCUAGGGCGGAUGUGAGAAAGAGAGUCAAGGGACGGUUUGUUAAGGCCGGUGAAGCGUAUGACUAUGAUCCGCUCGACACAAGGAGCUACUGA
Molecule: ribosomal RNA, 1191 nt
Filed under: Triticum aestivum (bread wheat)
Lineage: Eukaryota; Viridiplantae; Streptophyta; Magnoliopsida; Poales; Poaceae
Description: partial small subunit ribosomal RNA
Source: RNAcentral